GUCCUUUUUUGAAGUUUUUACGAUUUUUUCCAAAGGAAAGAUAUGAAAUAUUGGUAUCAUUAGAAAGGUGCUUGAGAAACGCUUUAAAUUCCAUAUCAGAAAUUUUUCUGUAACAAUAAAAAUAAUAUACAUUUUCUAAUUUUUCGCGAAAUUUUCGGAUUUUUUACAUUUAAACAUAGAUGAAGUUAAUAUAAUUCGUUAAAAAUUAAUACAUAAUAAUACUCAAUAAAAUCAACGAAACGGGACAAAAAUUUUGAGAAAUGGUAUCUUAGAAUGAACUAAAUUUUAGUUGUAUUUAUGUUAACAUUGAAAUUUUGUAUUUAGAAUAUUAAUCAACUAGAAAGUUCCGUGGAGGAGUUGACAGCCACUACAGUUUAACAAAACACUGUGAUAAUGGAAGCAUUUGCCAUACAUAAAGUGUGGGAAAGAGAAAAGGUCUUCUCAAUUCAGACUGCCGGUGACUUAACAGAUAUUAAUAAUAAAAUAAAUGAAACUAAUCGUGCAGCUUAUGCUCGUUUUAUGUAUGUCAUCUAUACUUAAAGGACAACUUCAUAAAUUGCUUAUGGAUUUUUUAAGUUAAUUUAAUUAUUGCAUCAAAUAUCGAUGGAGAAAAGUUUCGAUUAAACAUUUUAAAAAAAUGUACAUUUUAUUUAUUUUUUAUUUGCAUUUAUCAAUUAUUUUUUCUGUUUCAUUUGAUAGAUUCAUAAAUAAACAAAAAGAAAGAAUCUUCAGGAAAUAAGAAUUAGGAAAUUCUAAUGGAUAAUUAGCGGGAUUAGAAUUAAAAAUUUGUAUAUGUAUGUAUAUUAAACACUUUUGUAUAUUAUAUUUAGAAUGUAUAAGACUUUUAUAUUGUUACUAGCUAUACACAGUGUGCUUUGCUACCCUAAAAGCAAUGUAAAUAAAAAACACAUUACGAUUUUGAAGAUUCUAACUAUAAUAGUUUUCCAGAUAUAUAUUUUUUACAUAUUGGGGAUGAAACGCAAAUCAUUGUUCGCCAAUUUUUCCAAACGUUAAUUUAGAUUUUAAUGUAAACUAUGAAAAAUUUGAAUAGUAUAAUAUUUUCCCAGAUGGGAAAUGCCUAGGUCCUCUAGGUUCGACCAUUUUUCACUAAAUGUUCACAUGAAUGACAAAGUUUUUCAUGUAAAAUGUUUGUAUUUAAUUCAUAUGGGAGGUUCCAAUUUGCUAGUCCGCCAAUUUGCUAAAAUGUUCACAUUGAUGUCAAAGAAUUUUUGCUCUAAUAGUUUCCCACACAUUUAAUUCUAUUUAAUUCAUAUGGGAGGUUCAAACCCCCUCUAAUAAAGGUCCGCCCAUUUUCCUCAACAUGUUCAAAUAAAUGUUAAAUUUCUUCGUGGAAAA
Lucilia sericata (common green bottle fly) is the source of this 1356-nucleotide long non-coding RNA. RefSeq lists it as uncharacterized. Lineage: Eukaryota; Metazoa; Arthropoda; Insecta; Diptera; Calliphoridae. The transcript has 3 exons. The record is from RefSeq and is a predicted model, not a curated record.